CGGUGGAGCAUGUGGUUUAAUUCGAUGCAACGCGAAAAACCUUACCACUUCUUGACAUGGAGGCUAGAUCCUUCUUAACGGAAGGGCGCAGUUCGGCUGGGCCUCGCACAGGUGCUGCAUGGCUGUCGUCAGCUCGUGUCGUGAGAUGUUGGGUUAAGUCCCGCAACGAGCGUAACCCUCAUCCUUAGUUACCAGCGGGUAAUGCCGGGCACUUUAAGGAAACUGCCAGUGAUAAACUGGAGGAAGGUGGGGAUGAUGUCAAGUCAGCACGGCCCUUAUGGGGUGGGCUACACACGUGCUACAAUGGCGACUACAAUAGGUUGCAACG
This 328-nucleotide ribosomal RNA is filed under the name uncultured Anaplasma sp. RNAcentral's name for it is "bacterial SSU rRNA". It matches the Rfam family "Bacterial small subunit ribosomal RNA", at positions 930 to 1254 of the family's 1533-position model. Lineage: Bacteria; Pseudomonadati; Pseudomonadota; Alphaproteobacteria; Rickettsiales; Anaplasmataceae. The record is from RNAcentral.